UUCAUUCCAGAAAGUGGAUGUUUGGCCAUUUCACAUGCUACAGCGAUGUCCCAUAGAGGAUGAGAAUUGAGGAAUGGCUUUUGGAUUGGACAACUGGUGACCUUUAAAGAAAGUCAUCUUAGUAGGUGGAGAGGGUGCAAUUCAGAUCUCAGAGUGUGGAGAUGUUGAGUAGGAGGUGAGGACCGAGAGACAAGGAGCACAGGACCCCUCACAAGAAAUGUAUUUAUGAGAGGAAGCAAUGGCCUGACGUUUGAGGAGUGACUGGGUUUUUACUUCGUGGAAGACAGAGAGAGUGAGAGAGAGGCAGAGACACAGGCAGAGGGAGAAGCAGGCUCCAUACAGGAAGCCCGACGUGGGACUCGAUCCAGGGUCUCCAGGAUCACACCCCAGGCUGCAGGAGGCACUAAACCGCUGCACCACCGGGGCUGCCUAUGAUUGAGUUUUGAAGGAGAUUGUGACUGAAGGAAUGAGAAGAGAAGAAACAAAGGAGAGGGGGUCUUCAAGCCCCACUUUUUGUCUAACUGUAAUAAAAUAUGCAUGUACAUUUAAAAAUUAAAGCUAUAUUUACUAUU
Long non-coding RNA from Canis lupus familiaris (dog), 572 nucleotides. RefSeq lists it as uncharacterized. Lineage: Eukaryota; Metazoa; Chordata; Mammalia; Carnivora; Canidae. The record is from RefSeq and is a predicted model, not a curated record. The transcript is spliced from 2 exons.